Long non-coding RNA from Etheostoma spectabile (orangethroat darter), 143 nucleotides. RefSeq lists it as uncharacterized. Lineage: Eukaryota; Metazoa; Chordata; Actinopteri; Perciformes; Percidae. The record is from RefSeq and is a predicted model, not a curated record. The transcript is spliced from 3 exons.
CCUUCAAAAAAGGUAAUUAUCUCGUAGAUGCUGUUUGAGCUUUGCCAACCACAAGCGCCUCCUUUCCUCUGAUAACUUCUGGCAUUCCUCUCCCUGCUUUUUUAAUAACUUUUGGAAGUCGAUAAUAUUCUGAACACUUUUCU